This is a regulatory RNA element of Lawsonia intracellularis PHE/MN1-00, 112 nucleotides long. It matches the Rfam family "TPP riboswitch aptamer (THI element)". From Rfam's summary of the family: Vitamin B(1) in its active form thiamin pyrophosphate (TPP) is an essential coenzyme that is synthesised by coupling of pyrimidine and thiazole moieties in bacteria. The previously detected thiamin-regulatory element, thi box was extended, resulting in a new, highly conserved RNA secondary structure, the THI element, which is widely distributed in eubacteria and also occurs in some archaea. Analysis of operon structures identified a large number of new candidate thiamin-regulated genes, mostly transporters, in various prokaryotic organisms. Lineage: Bacteria; Pseudomonadati; Thermodesulfobacteriota; Desulfovibrionia; Desulfovibrionales; Desulfovibrionaceae. The record is from Rfam.
UUAUAUUGUUAGGGGAGCCUAAAUGACAAACAAGGCUGAGAGUGGGAUGGACCCUGACCCUUGGAACCUGAUGUAGUUAAUACUACCGUAGGGAUAGCAUAAUAGUUAACUA